UACGAAGGGGGCUAGCGUUGUUCGGAUUUACUGGGCGUAAAGCGCGCGUAGGCGGAUCGUUAAGUCGGGGGUGAAAUCCUGGAGCUCAACUCCAGAACUGCCUUUGAUACUGGCGACCUUGAGUCCGGGAGAGGUGAGUGGAACUGCGAGUGUAGAGGUGAAAUUCGUAGAUAUUCGCAAGAACACCAGUGGCGAAGGCGGCUCACUGGCCCGGUACUGACGCUGAGGUGCGAAAGCGUGGGGAGCAAACAGGG
This 254-nucleotide ribosomal RNA is filed under the name uncultured bacterium. Its description in RNAcentral is "partial 16S ribosomal RNA". It matches the Rfam family "Bacterial small subunit ribosomal RNA", at positions 524 to 777 of the family's 1533-position model. The record is from RNAcentral.